AUUGAACGCUGGCGGCAGGCCUAACACAUGCAAGUCGAGCGGAUGAAGGGAGCUUGCUCCUGGAUUCAGCGGCGGACGGGUGAGUAAUGCCUAGGAAUCUGCCUGGUAGUGGGGGAUAACGUCCGUAAACGGGCGCUAAUACCGCAUACGUCCUGAGGGAGCAAGUGGGGGAUCUUCGGACCUCACGCUAUCAGAUGAGCCUAGGUCGGAUUAGCUAGUUGGUGGGGUAAAGGCCUACCCAGGCGACGAUGCGUAACUGGUCUGAGGGGAUGAUCAGUCACACUGGAAGUGAGACACGGUCCAGACUCCUAAGGGAGGCAGCAGUGGAGAAUAUUGGACGAUGGGCGAAAGCCUGAUCCAGCCAUGCCGCGUGUGUGAAGAAGGUCUUCGGAUUGUAAAGCACUUUAAGUUGGGAGGAAGGGCAGUAAGUUAAUACCUUGCUGUAUUGACGUUACCAACAGAAUAAGCACCGGCUAACUUCGUG
RNAcentral lists this ribosomal RNA (484 nucleotides) under uncultured bacterium. RNAcentral describes it as "partial 16S ribosomal RNA". It matches the Rfam family "Bacterial small subunit ribosomal RNA", at positions 30 to 507 of the family's 1533-position model. The record is from RNAcentral.